CGAACGUUAGCGGCGGGCCUAACACAUGCAAGUCGAACGAGAACGCUCCUUCGGGAGUUAUUAAAGUGGCGCACGGGUGAGGAACGCGUAGGUAAUCUACCCUUUGGCGGGGGACAACAUUCCGAAAGGAAUGCUAAUACCGCGUAAGACCACAUUCACUACGGUGAGAGCGGUUAAAGGUGCCUCAAAGCACCACCAGAGGAUGAGCCUGCGUCCCAUCAGCUUGUUGGUAAGGUAAUGGCUUACCAAGGCGAAGACGGGUAGCUGGUCUGAGAGGAUGAUCAGCCACACUGGCACUGGAACACGGGCCAGACUCCUACGGGAGGCAGCAGUGAGGAAUAUUGGGCAAUGGGCGAAAGCCUGACCCAGCCACGCCGCGUGUGUGAUGAAGGCCUUCGGGUCGUAAAGCACUGUGGGGAGAGACGAAAAAGCGCAUGAGGAAAUGCUUGCGCCUUGACGGUACCUCCUUAGCAAGCACCGGCUAACUCU
This 489-nucleotide ribosomal RNA is filed under the name uncultured bacterium. RNAcentral describes it as "bacterial SSU rRNA". It matches the Rfam family "Bacterial small subunit ribosomal RNA", at positions 30 to 504 of the family's 1533-position model. The record is from RNAcentral.